Molecule: ribosomal RNA, 497 nt
Filed under: uncultured bacterium
Lineage: Bacteria
Description: partial 16S ribosomal RNA
Rfam family: Bacterial small subunit ribosomal RNA
Source: RNAcentral
GAUGAACGCUGGCGGCGUGCCUAAUACAUGCAAGUCGAGCGAACGGACGAGAAGCUUGCUUCUCUGAUGUUAGCGGCGGACGGGUGAGUAACACGUGGAUAACCUACCUAUAAGACUGGGAUAACUUCGGGAAACCGUAGCUAAUACCGGAUAAUAUUUUGAACCGCAUGGUUCAAAAGUGAAAGACGGUCUUGCUGUCACUUAUAGAUGGAUCCGCGCUGCAUUAGCUAGUUGGUAAGGUAACGGCUUACCAAGGCAACGAUGCAUAGCCGACCUGAGAGGGUGAUCGGCCACACUGGAACUGAGACACGGUCCAGACUCCUACGGGAGGCGGCAGUAGGGAAUCUUCCGCGAUGGGCGAAAGCCUGACGGAGCAACGCCGCGUGAGUGAUGAAGGUCUUCGGAUCGUAAAACUCUGUUAUUAGGGAAGAACAUAUGUGUAAGUAACUGUGCACAUCUUGACGGUACCUAAUCAGAAAGCCACGGCUAACUACGUG